RNAcentral lists this ribosomal RNA (497 nucleotides) under uncultured bacterium. Its description in RNAcentral is "partial 16S ribosomal RNA". It matches the Rfam family "Bacterial small subunit ribosomal RNA", at positions 28 to 507 of the family's 1533-position model. The record is from RNAcentral.
GACGAACGCUGGCGGCGUGCCUAAUACAUGCAAGUUGAGCGAUGAAGAUUGGUGCUUGCACCAAUUUGAAGAGCAGCGAACGGGUGAGUAACGCGUGGGGAAUCUGCCUUUGAGCGGGGGACAACAUUUGGAAACGAAUGCUAAUACCGCAUAACAACUUUAAACAUAAGUUUUAAGUUUGAAAGAUGCAAUUGCAUCACUCAAAGAUGAUCCCGCGUUGUAUUAGCUAGUUGGUGAGGUAAAGGCUCACCAAGGGGAUGAUAUAUAGCCGACCUGAGAGGGUGGUCGGCCACAUUGGGACUGAGACACGGCCCAAACUCCUACGGGAGGCAGCAGUAGGGAAUCUUCGGAAAUGGACGAAAGUCUGACCGAGCAACGCCGCGUGAGGGAAGAAGGUUUUCGGAUCGUAAAACUCUGUUGGUAGAGAAGAACGUUGGGGAGAGUGGAAAGCUCAUCAAGUGACGGUAACUACCCAGAAAGGGACGGCUAACUACGUG